AGUUUGAUCCUGGCUCAGGAUGAACGCUGGCGGCGUGCUUAACACAUGCAAGUCGAACGGGGUAGCAAUACCUAGUGGCGGACGGGUGAGUAACGCGUGAGAACCUGUCUCGAGGUGGGGGACAACAGUUGGAAACGACUGCUAAUACCCCAUAUGCCGCGAGGUGAAAGAUUUAUCGCCUUGAGGGGGGCUCCGCGUCCGAUUAGCUCGUUGGUGGGGUAACGGCCUACCAAGGCGACGAUCGGUAGCUGGUUUGAGAGGACGACCAGCCACACUGGGUCUGAGACACGGCCCAGACUCCUACGGGAGGCAGCAGUGGGGGAAUUUUCCGCAAUGGGCGCAAGCCUGACGGAGCAACGCCGCGUGUGGGAUUGAGGCCUCUGGGUUGUAAACACUUUUCUCAGGGACGAAGCUCUGUCGGUACCUUAGGAAUAUCCUCUGA
This 442-nucleotide ribosomal RNA is filed under the name uncultured bacterium. Its description in RNAcentral is "bacterial SSU rRNA". It matches the Rfam family "Bacterial small subunit ribosomal RNA", at positions 10 to 496 of the family's 1533-position model. The record is from RNAcentral.